CGCGUAGGCGGUUUUGUAAGUCGGAUGUGAAAUCCCCGGGCUUAACCUGGGAACUGCAUUCGAUACUGCUUAACUAGAGUAUGGUAGAGGGAAGUGGAAUUUCCGGUGUAGCGGUGAAAUGCGUAGAUAUCGGAAGGAACACCAGUGGCGAAGGCGACUUCCUGGGCCAAUACUGACGCUGAGGUGCGAAAGCGUGGGGAGCAAACA
Molecule: ribosomal RNA, 207 nt
Filed under: uncultured bacterium
Lineage: Bacteria
Description: partial 16S ribosomal RNA
Rfam family: Bacterial small subunit ribosomal RNA
Source: RNAcentral